This 987-nucleotide long non-coding RNA is filed under the name Ananas comosus (pineapple). RNAcentral's name for it is "long non-coding RNA (ACOM_LNC029899)". Lineage: Eukaryota; Viridiplantae; Streptophyta; Magnoliopsida; Poales; Bromeliaceae. The record is from RNAcentral.
UCCGUGCUCCUAAACCGUUUUUGAUAAUGAAGUUUUCGAAUCAACGAUCAACUUCGUUAUAUUUGAUCUAGCGUCACUACAACAAAAACGGUAUAUAUAUAGCGACACUUUUAAAUGUAGGUACAUAUUAAAAAAGUGCUGCUAGCUAAAAUUACCGUCACUGUUAAAAAGUGUUGUUAUAUGUGGGGUCACUAGGAAUAUAGUGACAGUUAAAGAGUGUCGCUAUAACCUAAAAGAGUGCUGCUAAUUUACCAACACUUAUUUAAGCAUUUAGCAACCGCCGAAACUCUAUCUCGUUCGCUGCGGUGGCGGAGGAAGACGAUAGGAAAGGCUCUUCGUCUAGAAUUUCAGUGGAUUGAGUGAAGAGAGAAGAAAAGAUGGUAAUUGAUUUUUUCUUUUCCUUUUUUUCUUUUCUGUAUGUAAUCGGACCAAAUGGACUGGGUGCGGUGGGUUGAGUAGAAUAAUCUUUUAUUUUUGGUUGGAUUGGACUUUAUAUUUAGGCAUUAGUAGAUAUUUUUUUUUAAGUUUUAGCAUAAAUGGGACACUUACUCAAAAGUGUCCCAAACAUGUGUCCCUAUAAUCUAAUUCUGUUGUAGUGCGUAUUUGAAGUAUCUAGAAUAUAAAUUUUGUAAUUUUUUAAUAUCAUUUACAUAGCGAUCGAAAGGGUGCAAAAUCAACGACUGAAAAUAAAAAUCUCAUAAAAGGUGAUGAUAUAACACUGUAAUUUUCGAUCAGAAAUAUUGAUCUUGCUAUAAGUAGUAUAAAAAAUUUUCUAUCCAAAAUUUUAUCUGAUUUGAAUACUUCUACACCGUUAAACUUGCAAAUAGUAUACAUCAACCAUUAAAAAUUAUUGAUCGUUAGGUAAAUGAUAUCGAAAAAUCGUAAAAUUUAUUUUCUAUAUAUUUCAAAUACGCUAAAUCAAGUUUAACGGAGUUGAUCGUCGAUUCGAAAUCUCCAUCAUAUAAAACGGUUUAGGAGUACGGACAA